Molecule: microRNA, 21 nt
Filed under: Echinococcus granulosus
Lineage: Eukaryota; Metazoa; Platyhelminthes; Cestoda; Cyclophyllidea; Taeniidae
Description: egr-miR-10245-5p
Source: miRBase by way of RNAcentral
CGUGGAGGAGUUCGGGAUAGC